GGGGGAGAAUGGGCAUCCCACCCCAGCACUUUCUAGGAAGAAGGGCAGCAUUUUGAAGGGCUGGAAGUAGAGGAAGGAGGUUGCGGGUAGAAGACUCCAUACUUUCUGUGACGCCUAUUCCUUAGCUUGUGAUGAAUGUUUUCUCAGUAUCCUAUGCUGAAAACAGGUAGAUACUAAUAUCGAUCUUCAAGGGAGGGCUGUUGAGUAUUGAAUAAGACAAAAACAUGGAAGCAAUCAGCACCAUGCUGGAAUCAAGGCUAUCUGUAAUCACAGGGCUAUUUGAAAAAGAGAAGAAAAGGUGUCUUGAAAUUCAACCAACAUGUUUCAAUUAUUUGCUCCUAAGAACAACAGAAGUUUCAACAUUCUGCCAACAGAGUAACUCCUGGAAGAUUGGCACAGAAGAAGGCACAAGGAAGUCAGUGAUAAAAAUAUUUAAGCAGCUUUGUCUGCCUUAGACCUUCCAACUAAAAGUACAGCAAGUGGAAUGGAAUGCUAAUAUGAGGAUCCAAAUUUUCAGGGAAGGAGGAGAGCCUUUAUAUAACCAAAGAUAUUUUUGGACCAUGAAUUCAGAAAUUCUCGGAGCCACCCAUCAGUGCCUGAGCUUCAGUGAGUCCAUAUCCCAUGUCACCCACGGCAAAGGAGACUCUAAGACUUCUGAAGAGUUUCUUGCUUCUUUCCUGUGGGGCAGUGACUCCACUUCCCAGCAGUAAUGGAAUAUCCUGAAUUAGCUACA
RNAcentral lists this long non-coding RNA (733 nucleotides) under Homo sapiens (human). RNAcentral describes it as "STARD13 antisense RNA". The record is from RNAcentral. Lineage: Eukaryota; Metazoa; Chordata; Mammalia; Primates; Hominidae.